CCCACAUCCCAUGGAGGCCCUGCAUCCUAUUGGGUUCCCACAACCCCCUGUGUUCCCACACCCCGUUGGGUUCCCACACCCCAUUGGGUUCCCACACCCCAUUGAGUUCCCACAUCCCCUGGAGGCCCCACAUCCCAUUGGUGUCCCACAUCCCAUUGGGGUCCCUCAUCCCAUUGGGGUCCUGCAUCCCCUGGAGGCCCCACAUCCCAUGGGGUCCCACAACCCAUUGGGUUCCCACAUCCCCUGGAGGCCUCACGUCCCAUUGGGGUCCCGCAUCCC
Tympanuchus pallidicinctus (lesser prairie-chicken) is the source of this 279-nucleotide long non-coding RNA. RefSeq lists it as uncharacterized. Lineage: Eukaryota; Metazoa; Chordata; Aves; Galliformes; Phasianidae. The transcript is spliced from 3 exons. The record is from RefSeq and is a predicted model, not a curated record.